Molecule: long non-coding RNA, 424 nt
Organism: Carlito syrichta (Philippine tarsier)
Lineage: Eukaryota; Metazoa; Chordata; Mammalia; Primates; Tarsiidae
Exons: 4
Source: RefSeq, a predicted model, not a curated record
UGCCGUAGCUUCAGUCCUGUGGCCUGCAGUCCUUAGGAGGUCGGCAGGGAGGACACCGGCACACCCGGAAGCUGGGAGGUGGAUAGACAAGGAUUUGUACAUCAGCACUACCUGCCUCUUAAGCGUCUUCCAGGCCAUCACGACCACCCCCAUGAACUCCAGGUGGCAGAGCUGACACUACAAGCUCCCAGAAACACUGGGCCCUGCAGCAUCCUGUGCUGGAUUGUGAACAGGCUGUCAGACUCCUUGCCUUCUUGAGUCAUGUCCCCAGGACGUCCAGGCUCAGCUCCGUCUGCUGUGGAAGGAAUACACCAUCCCCUAAGCUGAUUGUAGGUAAAUAAUGAUGACCGUCGCUGGGCGCAGUGGCUCAAGCCUGUCAUCCCAGCACUUUGGGAGGCCGAGGGGAGAGGAUUGCCUGAGUCCA